Non-coding RNA from Brachypodium distachyon (stiff brome), 125 nucleotides. Lineage: Eukaryota; Viridiplantae; Streptophyta; Magnoliopsida; Poales; Poaceae. The record is from Rfam.
GUUAUACUCCCUCCGUUCCAUAAUUCUUGUCAAAAUAUUACAUGUAUCUAGAUGCUUUUUAGGAAUAGAUACGUCCAUUUUUGGGCAAAUUUGAGACAAGAAUUAUGGAACGGAGGGAGUACAAU